GGAAUUUCAUCUUUCUCUCUGCCGCUGGUUCAUCUUUCUCUCUGCCACUGCUUGGAGGGCUAGCUGAGCAUUGAUUGGGGUUGAGUACCUGAUAACAUCAGAGGGUAGAAGACACACAGAGAGUUUCUGUGACCUUAUCCCCUACGUGAUCUUGUCCAGUGUGACGGGACUCAGAAAGGUUUGGCAGUGGGACAAUAAAAGUUGCAAUAGAGGGAGAAAGUAGAGAUGGAGGAGCAGUGUUAUUCCCUGAUGCUGCUGCUCUAAUUCAGUUUUUCUUAAGAACGUCAGAAGACUCAAGCUUCCUUCAGCUCUGGAUGGAAAAAGUCCUGUAGUCAUGUUUUGCUUUGUUUUUUUUCCCCUCACUUGGAGCAGUGAUGGGACAAAAGAAAGAAAGGAGAACUUCAUGGCUUUAUCUUUUUUUCCUGUUUUCUUCCAUUCGACACAGAGAAAAACCAACUCCCUCAUCUUCUGCUGUUUUUAGAAGGCAGUAGGUUUGCAGACAGUUUGAAGUUGGAAUAGGAUUAGAUCUUGAGGUGAAAGAACAAGCCCCUCUGGAGCUUAGGGUUUCAUACAUAACUUCAAAGCAAAA
This is a long non-coding RNA of Phasianus colchicus (ring-necked pheasant), 589 nucleotides long. RefSeq lists it as uncharacterized. The record is from RefSeq and is a predicted model, not a curated record. Lineage: Eukaryota; Metazoa; Chordata; Aves; Galliformes; Phasianidae.